RNAcentral lists this transfer RNA (72 nucleotides) under Ovis aries (sheep). It matches the Rfam family "tRNA". Rfam says of the family: Transfer RNA (tRNA) molecules are approximately 80 nucleotides in length. Their secondary structure includes four short double-helical elements and three loops (D, anti-codon, and T loops). The record is from Rfam by way of RNAcentral. Lineage: Eukaryota; Metazoa; Chordata; Mammalia; Artiodactyla; Bovidae.
UCCCUGAUAGCUCAGUUGUUAAAGAAUCCACCUGCAAUGUGGAAGGCCCAGGUUCAAUUCCUGGGUGGGGAA